Molecule: ribosomal RNA, 468 nt
Filed under: uncultured bacterium
Lineage: Bacteria
Description: partial 16S ribosomal RNA
Rfam family: Bacterial small subunit ribosomal RNA
Source: RNAcentral
GACGAACGCUGGCGGCGUGCUUAACACAUGCAAGUCGAACGGAAAGGCCCUGCUUUUGUGGGGUGCUCGAGUGGCGAACGGGUGAGUAACACGUGAGUAACCUGCCCUUGACUUUGGGAUAACUUCAGGAAACUGGGGCUAAUACCGGAUAGGAGCUCCUGCUGCAUGGUGGGGGUUGGAAAGUUUCGGCGGUUGGGGAUGGACUCGCGGCUUAUCAGCUUGUUGGUGGGGUAGUGGCUUACCAAGGCUUUGACGGGUAGCCGGCCUGAGAGGGUGACCGGCCACACUAGGACUGAGAUACGGCCCAGACUCCUACGGGAGGCAGCAGUGGGGAAUAUUGCACAAUGGGCGGAAGCCUGAUGCAGCAACGCCGCGUGCGGGAUGACGGCCUUCGGGUUGGAAACCGCUUUCGCCUGUGACGAAGCGUGAGUGACGGUAAUGGGUAAAGAAGCACCGGCUAACUACGUG